This 497-nucleotide ribosomal RNA is filed under the name uncultured bacterium. RNAcentral describes it as "partial 16S ribosomal RNA". It matches the Rfam family "Bacterial small subunit ribosomal RNA", at positions 28 to 507 of the family's 1533-position model. The record is from RNAcentral.
GAUGAACGCUGGCGGCGUGCCUAAUACAUGCAAGUCGAGCGAACAGACGAGGAGCUUGCUCCUUUGACGUUAGCGGCGGACGGGUGAGUAACACGUGGAUAACCUACCUAUAAGACUGGGAUAACUUCGGGAAACCGGAGCUAAUACCGGAUAACAUGUUGAACCGCAUGGUUCAACAGUGAAAGACGGUCUUGCUGUCACUUAUAGAUGGAUCCGCGCCGCAUUAGCUAGUUGGUAAGGUAACGGCUUACCAAGGCAACGAUGCGUAGCCGACCUGAGAGGGUGAUCGGCCACACUGGAGCUGAGACACGGUCCAGGCUCCUACGGGAGGCAGCAGUAGGGAAUCUUCCGCAAUGGUCGAAAGCCUGACGGAGCAACGCCGCGUGAGUGAAGAAGGUCUUCGGAUCGUAAAACUCUGUUAUUAGGGAAGAACAAAUGUGUAAGUAACUAUGCACGUCUUGACGGUACCUAAUCAGAAAGCCACGGCUAACUACGUG